GGAGUUGUGCCUGAAGUUGAAGGGUCACUUUGAUAGAGUGUAAAUACGGGGGUUAAAGUCCCCCCAACUCCC
This 72-nucleotide transfer RNA is filed under the name Neosynchiropus moyeri (Moyer's dragonet). Its description in RNAcentral is "tRNA-Ile". It matches the Rfam family "tRNA". From Rfam's summary of the family: Transfer RNA (tRNA) molecules are approximately 80 nucleotides in length. Their secondary structure includes four short double-helical elements and three loops (D, anti-codon, and T loops). The record is from RNAcentral. Lineage: Eukaryota; Metazoa; Chordata; Actinopteri; Syngnathiformes; Callionymidae.